GAUUAUACGACUGCCAUUUUCAAAGGCAAAAUCAUCGCAGAAACGAUCCAGAAAACGAGGGCAAGCGUAGGACCAAUGUUAUAGUUUAUAGUUGAUUAAAAAUUUUGUUUUUAUGUCAAAUAUUUUGUAGUUGUGGGAAUUGAGCUUUGUGAGUUUCUCUUUGUACAUCUCAUCUCUUUCUUUGCCUAUAAGGAAAUUCAAAUCUAGGCUUCGGCAAUUCUUGUUUUUUUGGUUUAUGAUGUAGAUAUUGCUAGUUUUUUGUUAGGAAAACACAAGACGUGGAAAGAGAUCUUG
RNAcentral lists this long non-coding RNA (294 nucleotides) under Theobroma cacao (cacao). RNAcentral's name for it is "long non-coding RNA (TCAC_LNC000076)". Lineage: Eukaryota; Viridiplantae; Streptophyta; Magnoliopsida; Malvales; Malvaceae. The record is from RNAcentral.